RNAcentral lists this long non-coding RNA (200 nucleotides) under Lathyrus oleraceus (garden pea). Its description in RNAcentral is "Pisum sativum (pea) long non-coding RNA (PSAT_LNC006491)". The record is from RNAcentral. Lineage: Eukaryota; Viridiplantae; Streptophyta; Magnoliopsida; Fabales; Fabaceae.
AGGAAUUGUGUAGCUUUGGAGCCUUACACUAGUUGAGUGAAGAAGAGAGCAAAAAAGUUCAAGAUGCCAUACGCUUAUGAAAGACCUAUGUCCUUAGUAAUGGUCAAAUCACCCACUAUUAAAGGCAUAUAGGAGUUACAUGAGGCUUUGGAUAGGAUGAAGCAAGAGAGGGAUGAUUGAGAAGAUAAAUUUAACACAUC